GUGGGGAAUAUUGCACAAUGGGCGCAAGCCUGAUGCAGCCAUGCCGCGUGUAUGAAGAAGGCCUUCGGGUUGUAAAGUACUUUCAGCGAGGAGGAAGGCAUUGUGGUUAAUAACCGCAGUGAUUGACGUUACUCGCAGAAGAAGCACCGGCUAACUCCGUGCCAGCAGCCGCGGUAAUACGGAGGGUGCAAGCGUUAAUCGGAAUUACUGGGCGUAAAGCGCACGCAGGCGGUCUGUCAAGUCGGAUGUGAAAUCCCCGGGCUCAACCUGGGAACUGCAUUCGAAACUGGCAGGCUAGAGUCUUGUAGAGGGGGGUAGAAUUCCAGGUGUAGCGGUGAAAUGCGUAGAGAUCUGGAGGAAUACCGGUGGCGAAGGCGGCCCCCUGGACAAAGACUGACGCUCAGGUGCGAAAGCGUGGGGAGCAAACAGGAUUAGAAACCCUUGUAGUCC
RNAcentral lists this ribosomal RNA (450 nucleotides) under uncultured bacterium. Its description in RNAcentral is "partial 16S ribosomal RNA". It matches the Rfam family "Bacterial small subunit ribosomal RNA", at positions 354 to 796 of the family's 1533-position model. The record is from RNAcentral.